This 701-nucleotide long non-coding RNA is filed under the name Homo sapiens (human). RNAcentral's name for it is "HSALNT0329324". Lineage: Eukaryota; Metazoa; Chordata; Mammalia; Primates; Hominidae. The record is from RNAcentral.
CGGCCCUCCCGGCUGGGCGGUUCCCGGACCAGGCUCAGGGCUGUAAGGAAGGACGCCUGGGACUGCCCACCCGCGCGGCUCUGGGCCCAGGGCCCUCCCGCCGCCCCGCGGGGACCCCUUGGAGGGGCCGGGCCUGAGAAAGGCGGGAAGGAGCCCGGAGGUUUCCGGGACGGAUCUGCGCCACCGCCCACACUCGGCGGUUCAGGGAAAUUCAAAUAUAAACGUCCCUAAAAGCCACACGCGAAACUCAGAGUGUCCCCGGCCACCGCGGGCGUGGUAACCUUAUCCCCCGCUCCGCUGGAGGGCUCGGGAAACGGCCUGGAGGCCGGGACGCUGUGGAAUUACGUAAUAGGCACUUGAGUCCGAGGUUCCAAAUGCACGGCUUGCAGGUUCCAAGUACCAGCCUUUAUUUUUCUCUCCGGUGGAAAACUGUAUCAGGCAACUUCUUUCCAUGAAAGUGAGAUCUGUGCGUCUUGAAGCCGAUAGAUUAUCACAGAAAAACCAGCAACCCUGAUUUUAAAUCAUUUGCCAACAGUGUUAAUGGGCGGUUCCUAAUCCGUUUCUUAAUUUAAGGGUUUGUAAAAUCAAAAAACAGCUCAGAAAUGAUACGAUUAACAUAUGACGGUGAGUAACUACGAGAGCAAGCUGUUUCAUACUCCGUUAAAAUCAGGUACAUAAAAAUCUGAACUUGUGAAAAUUUA